UACGUAGGUGACCAGCGUUGUCCGGAUUUACUGGGCGUAAAGAGCGCGCAGGCGGUCGUUCAAGUCGAGUGUGAAAGCCCCCGGCUCAACUGGGGAGGGUCACUCGAUACUGAUCGACUUGAAGGCAGGAGAGGGAAGCGGAAUUCCCGGUGUAGUGGUGAAAUGCGUAGAUAUCGUAAGGAAGACCAGUGGCGAAGGCGGGUCUCUGGACAGUUCCUGACGCUGAGACGCGAAAGCUAGGGGAGCAAACGGG
RNAcentral lists this ribosomal RNA (253 nucleotides) under uncultured bacterium. Its description in RNAcentral is "partial 16S ribosomal RNA". It matches the Rfam family "Bacterial small subunit ribosomal RNA", at positions 524 to 776 of the family's 1533-position model. The record is from RNAcentral.